RNAcentral lists this ribosomal RNA (301 nucleotides) under uncultured bacterium. Its description in RNAcentral is "partial 16S ribosomal RNA". It matches the Rfam family "Bacterial small subunit ribosomal RNA", at positions 509 to 807 of the family's 1533-position model. The record is from RNAcentral.
CAGCCGCCGCGGGAAUACGAAGGGGGCUAGCGUUGUUCGGAUUUACUGGGCGUAAAGCGCACGUAGGCGGAUCGAUCAGUCAGGGGUGAAAUCCCAGAGCUCAACUCUGGAACUGCCUUUGAUACUGUCGAUCUGGAGUAUGGAAGAGGUGAGUGGAAUUCCGAGUGUAGAGGUGAAAUUCGUAGAUAUUCGGAGGAACACCAGUGGCGAAGGCGGCUCACUGGUCCAUUACUGACGCUGAGGUGCGAAAGCGUGGGGAGCAAACAGGAUUAGAGACCCGCGUAGUCCCUGUCUCUUAUAC